AGAGCGAACGCUGGCGGCAGGCUUAACACAUGCAAGUCGAGCGGUGAUCCUCCUUCGGGAGGUGAUCAGCGGCGAACGGGUGAGUAACACGUGGGCAACCUGCCCCUCACACUGGGAUAACCUCGGGAAACCGGGGCUAAUACCGGAUACGACCUCGAGCGGCAUCUCCUGAGGUGGAAAGCUCCGACGGUGAGGGAUGGGCCCGCGGCCUAUCAGCUUGUUGGUGGGGUAAUGGCCUACCAAGGCGACGACGGGUA
Molecule: ribosomal RNA, 257 nt
Filed under: uncultured bacterium
Lineage: Bacteria
Description: partial small subunit ribosomal RNA
Rfam family: Bacterial small subunit ribosomal RNA
Source: RNAcentral